UCCCUGGUGGCUCAGUGGUGAAGAAUCUGCCUGCCAAUGCAGGAGACACAGGUUCAAUUCCUGGUCCAGGAA
Ovis aries (sheep) is the source of this 72-nucleotide non-coding RNA. The record is from Rfam. NCBI's taxonomy places the organism in Eukaryota, Metazoa, Chordata, Mammalia, Artiodactyla, Bovidae.